AACGAACGCUGGCGGCAGGCUUAACACAUGCAAGUCGAGCGCAUCCUUCGGGGUGAGCGGCGGACGGGUGAGUAACGCGUGGGAACGUGCCCUCUUCUACGGAAUAGCCUCGGGAAACUGAGAGUAAUGCCGGAUACGCCCGCAAGGGGAAAGAUUUAUCGGAGGAGGAUCGGCCCGCGUUGGAUUAGGUAGUUGGUGGGGUAACGGCCUACCAAGCCGACGAUCCAUAGCUGGUUUGAGAGGAUGAUCAGCCACACUGGGACUGAGACACGGCCCAGACUCCUACGGGAGGCAGCAGUGGGGAAUCUUGGACAAUGGGGGCAACCCUGAUCCAGCCAUGCCGCGUGAUCGAUGAAGGCCUUAGGGUUGUAAAGAUCUUUCAGCUGGGAAGAUAAUGACGGUACCAGCAGAAGAAGCCCCGGCUAACUCCGUG
RNAcentral lists this ribosomal RNA (433 nucleotides) under uncultured bacterium. RNAcentral describes it as "partial 16S ribosomal RNA". It matches the Rfam family "Bacterial small subunit ribosomal RNA", at positions 29 to 507 of the family's 1533-position model. The record is from RNAcentral.